Molecule: ribosomal RNA, 112 nt
Filed under: Caerostris darwini
Lineage: Eukaryota; Metazoa; Arthropoda; Arachnida; Araneae; Araneidae
Source: RNAcentral
AACGGUUGUACCAUGCUGAAUAUACCGGUUCUCGUUAGAUCACCGAAGUUAAGCAUCAUUGGGCGCGGUCAGUACUUGGGUGGGUGACCACCUGGGAACACUGCGUGCCGUU